Molecule: transfer RNA, 87 nt
Filed under: Bacteroidetes bacterium HGW-Bacteroidetes-13
Lineage: Bacteria; Pseudomonadati; Bacteroidota
Description: tRNA-Leu
Rfam family: tRNA
About the family: Transfer RNA (tRNA) molecules are approximately 80 nucleotides in length. Their secondary structure includes four short double-helical elements and three loops (D, anti-codon, and T loops).
Source: RNAcentral
GCUUCGGUGGCGGAAUUGGUAGACGCGCUGGACUCAAAAUCCAGUGAUAGCAGUAUCGUGUGGGUUCGAUUCCCACCCGGAGUACAA